Long non-coding RNA from Tripterygium wilfordii, 1481 nucleotides. RefSeq lists it as uncharacterized. Lineage: Eukaryota; Viridiplantae; Streptophyta; Magnoliopsida; Celastrales; Celastraceae. The record is from RefSeq and is a predicted model, not a curated record. The transcript is spliced from 2 exons.
AAUUUAAGCCCAGACUCUCUUCUUGCAUUGAAAACAGAACCCCAAAACCCAUUUCCUCCUCUCUUUCUUCUUUCUUCUUUCUUUGCAUUGUGUGAACAUUAUGCUCCCAUCGUUGCAGAUCUUCAGCAUCGAUACGUCCAUGUAGUUGCAGUUUGAGAUGGAAAUCAGUGUAACGAAGAAAGAAAUUUGAAGGUUAUUAUACUUAUUGCAUACCCAUAUGAGUUUGACCCCCUAAUGUCUGCUUUACAUUGUUUGUUUGGGUUGGAGUUGGACUUCAUGAGCUUGGCAUUACAUUUUGAUGAGCUAUCUGAGAUGAUCAAUUCAUCGUAUUUUGGUGUCUUGCAUUGUUCCUUUGUAUAAGUAUUUGUCAGCUUGCACAAUGAUCUAAUAUUCACAAUAUAUAUAUGCUUUGCAUUGUUUUAUGCAAAUGAUUUUUGAUGAUAUUUCACUAUACUAUACUCUAACUUUGGCCCACUGUUUACUCAUUUGCAUUGUUUAUUUCUUUUGGGUUUUUUUGUUGUUUUUUUAAACGUAAUGACUUAACAGAUUAGGUACUAUGAUUUAGUAUUUCCUAGUGAGGGUGCAUAGAACCCAGCAGCAUCCCUCUCAACAGUGAAGGACUCACCCCAACAACCAGUAGCUUCGUUAGUUUAACUAAAAUUUUCUCUUAUCAUUUGCAAUAUUAUUUAUCCUAUAAUCCAAUUGAAUAUCUGUUUUUACUGUGUAAUAGUGUGGAUUGUGGCAUCAUUGUGAUGCACAUAAUGGAGUGCAUCUUCAACAACAAACCCAUCCCCAAGCCCUUAACAGAGGAAGAUAUUCUAAGGUAUAGGGCGCACGUUAUUCACUUGCUUCUCAAUGACAAAUGCCAAUUAUGAAGAUGAUCGUGCUAUUACAACUUCGCAAAUGAACCGAACAAUUUUAUAUAUAAUUUUGGCUAAUAUGGUUGAACUAUUUCAACCAGUUAACAUUUUGCAAUGUCUGAACCAAUUGACAUAUUGUCAGUAAUAUUAGUGAACAAUGUAAUGUUCUGAUGGAACAAUUUAAUGCCAAGAAAUGAAUUUAGAAUUUUGUGAUUGCAUUGAUUUUGUAUUGUACCCUUUUAGAGAUUGAUAUGAUUGACAAAUGUAACACCCAGGUCAUUUGCACCAAUACUGAGUGCAUUGUUUAAGAACCCUUUUUUUAUGAUACAUUGGCAACCCAUGUACAUUAUAUGAAAAUUGCAUUGUCUUUUCACCUGUGUUCAUUGCCUGACUGCACACCUAUUUCAGCAUUGUCCCAUUCGUUGACAUUGCAUUGAUAUGCAUAUUGCAUUGUUUUACACACCUAGUUAAGCAUUGGUCUCAUGAUAGGAUCAUUUGCUAAUAUGAUUGAACUAUAUAUUUUGCUAGGAUGGUUGAAAUAGUUUCUCAUAUGUAAGUGGUUGGUAUAACCAAUGUAAUAAAUUCAUGGAAUAGUUGAACUCAUUGCCAUGUCUUUUCUAA